Molecule: long non-coding RNA, 5509 nt
Organism: Papaver somniferum (opium poppy)
Lineage: Eukaryota; Viridiplantae; Streptophyta; Magnoliopsida; Ranunculales; Papaveraceae
Exons: 2
Source: RefSeq, a predicted model, not a curated record
UGUUGUAAAUCCGUUUUCCUUGUAACCUAGAAACUAGGUCGAGUUGGUCAUUACAUGACCAGUUCUUCUCUUAGCCAAAUCUCGUCGCCGCUCUCAGUUCCUUGCCAAGUAUGGUUCACGCCGGAAAGCUCAGGUCUGGUGGAGUACGUCUUCGGACCAGAGAGUUGUAAAAGGGUAAGACAAGUCAAAUUCGUAAGAGUUUAGUUUGUGUUUGAAUUCUCAGAUGAAAACUCUAUCAAGAACAAUAAGCUGAUGUCGGAGAAAAUGGAGAUGAAGGGAGUAAAAUCAUCGAGCAGUUGCGAGUUUCUGUGGAUUCAAAGGUCUGUAAACAAUGGGUUUGUGUUGGAUUUGCAUUUGGUAGUGAUGGUUUCGAUAAUUGAAGACUAGGGUUGAAUUCGAACUGGAAUUGGGGUUGAUGUUGCUCCAUUGAGUGGUCUGUGUUGUGAAUCGAAAGAGGAGAAGUUGCUGCUGUUGUACAAAGUUAACAAUACGAAGCAGUGGAUUCUGAUAUUGCUGUUGCCGAUCGAAUAUUAAUAAGAAUGCAGAUAAAGCAUGACUCAAGUGAAGAUAUUCAAGGGUUGAGUUCUCUGUGUGUAUUAACGUGAAUUAUUACAAAGUUAAACUGGCUGUGAGCUGAUGUUGAUUGAAUUAUGAACUGGUGCAGCUGCAGAUUUGUGUUGCUGUCAUCAAUGGGAGUUGGUAUUGCAGGAAAUGGAGAAAGGAAGGAAUUGAGCCAAGAAAGGGGUUGACAAGAGCUGGUGGCACAACAGCCAGGCCCGUCAGCUGCAGUUUCUGGUGGUUUUGGUUAAUAAGCUGGAUGGGUUGUUAAAGCUGAGAACUGAGAUGGUGCAGUUAAAAUGGCUCACUGUUGAUGUUGGUUGUGUAUGUGAGACUGCAGAUGAUUGUUGUGCAGUGGGUUUGGUGGACUCGUAUUGCAGGUUGUGUUUGAAUGAAUUGUGCUGCUGCAAUGGGCAAACUGGAACUGCAGGUGGAUGGCUGAGAAGUUGUGGGAUUGAAGCUACAGAAGACAUGAGUGAUACUGAAGCUAAAUGGAGUUGUAAGUUAGAUGCAGUAAACGGCGUUGGUCAAAGAAGUGGAUGCUAUUGAUAAUGUUGAUAUGCAGGGAAUGAAGAUGGCUGUGAGCUGAGAAGAUUGAGACAUAAAAAAGCUACAAAAUAAGAUGGUGUUCGUUGCAGCUUAUAUGCAGUUACAAGAGUCAGGUUGGUGAUUGUUGUGCUGGCGAGAAACUACAGCAGUUGCAGGUGUUGGGUCUGGUGAUGCAAUGUGUUGGUUUGCAGCUGAAAUUACAAGGAAUGGAAAACUGGAAUUGCAGCAGGUGAAGCUAUGGAGAUUGCAGUCAAGCUGAACUGGUGGUGCUGUUUAGACUGGGAAUGGAACAUUGGAGUUGCAGCUACUGUUGGGUUUGAUUUACAGGUUAUAAUGCAGCUGCAAAGUGAGUCAGAGAGAGAAUGAAGCUGCAAUGAAAAAGAAUGGAGGUGAAAUUGCAGGUAUGAGAUUGCAGGGAGUGUGUCCUGUGAUUGGUAAAAUGAAGGAAUGCAUAUGUGCAGUGAAACUAUGGCUCGAGUUACAGCUGUGGAGAUGGUGAGCAGUAAUAUGAAUGGUUGUCGAAAAAGAAUUGCAAGAGAUGAUGAUGAUGUUAUGGUAUCAAGGGUUCGCGUAUGGAACUUGAAUUGUUUAUAAGUACAGGUGGUAUAGAAAUUGGUACUAUUCUUGAGAUUGAAUCGGUAAUGGAUGGAGUCAGGUGAUGAAUGAGCAGGUGCAGCUACAGAUGUAGGCAAUUGUAGGUUUUCUGGUGGGUCUUUAGAGUGGCAGGAAAUACUCAGUGGAGGAAUUGACAGUAUGGGUUGUGUUUGAUUAGCUUGUCAGUUCCACAAGACUGACAAGCCAAACAUCUAAUGAGCUAAUGGGCUUGUGGGUUGUUCUGAAGAAGAAGUGAGUUUAUAGGCUGGAGUGCUUGUCACAUGACCCAGUUGGUAUUUUGCUAUGUCAAAACCGUGAACUAGACUUGGAAAUUGGGUGGAUAGGAAAAGAUAUAAAAGCAACAUCUCUCCUAUAUCAUCUUUCUUUUUCUCUACUUUUGGCCUAGGGUUUAGAACAUGAUGGCUUUUCUAUUCCUUCUUGUUAUGAACUCCGUUAUUAUAUUUAGUAAUUUUCUUUUGGUUAAGGAAUAAGUUGGAAUUCUAAACAUGAUUUUUAUGUAAUGAAUUAGUUUUGUCUCCAUAUUAUCGUUUAUGAUUCACCAUUAAUAUUGUUACAUGAUUUGAAUGUUUGUUUGGUUGAGUCUAGAAUCAAUCGAGUUUGUUUUCAUCUCUAUUGCUAAAUUAGGAUUUAUUAUACGCAAAUUUGUAUUUGGUAGUGAUGGUUUCGAUAAUUGAAGACUAGGGUUGAAUUCGAACUGGAAUUGGGGUUGAUGUUGCUCCAUUGAGUGGUCUGUGUUGUGAAUCGAAAGAGGAGAAGUUGCUGCUGUUGUACAAAGUUAACAAUACGAAGCAGUGGAUUCUGAUAUUGCUGUUGCCGAUCGAAGAUUAGUAAGAAUGCAAGAUAAAGCAUGACUCAAGUGAAGAUAUUCAAGGCUGCAGAUUUGUGUUGCUGUCAUCAAUGAGAGUUGGUAUUGCAGGAAAUGGAGAAAGGAAGGAAUUGAUCCAAGAAAGGAGUUGACAAGAGCUGGUGGCACAACAGCCAGGCCCGUCACCUGCAGUUUCUGGUGGUUUUGGUUAAUAAGUUGGAUGGGUUGUUAAAGCUGAGAACUGAGAUGGUGCAGUUAAAAUGGCUCACUGUUGAUGUUUUUUUUGGUUGUGUAUGUGAGAUUGCAGAUGGGAAUGAUUGUUGUGCAGUGGGUAUGGUGGACUGGUAUUGCAGGUUGUGUUUGAAUGAAUUGUGCUGCUGCAAUGGGCAAACUGGAACUGCAGGUGAUGGCUGAGAAGUUGUGGGAUUGAAGCUACAGAAGACAUGAGUGAUACUGAAGCUAAAUGGAGUUGUAAGUGAGCUGCAGUAAAUGGUGUUGGUCAAAGAAGUGGAUGCUAUUGAUAAUGUUGAUAUGCAGGGACUGAAGAUGGCCGUGAGCUGAGAAGAUUGAGACAUGAAAGAGCUACAAAAUAAGAUGGUGUUCGUUACAGCUUAGAUGCAGUUACAAGAGUCAGGUUGGUGAUUGUUGUGUUGGCGAGAAACUACAGCAGUUGCAUGUGUUGGGUCUGGUGAUGCAAUGUGUUGGUUUGCAGCUGAAAUUACAAGAAAUGGAAAACUGGAAUUGCAGCAGGUGAAGCUAUGGAGAUUGCAGUCAAGCUGAACUGGUGGUGCUGUUUAGACUGGAAUGGAACAUUGGAGUUGCAGCUACUGUUGGGUUUGAUUUCCAGGUUAUAAUGCAGCUGCAAAGUGAGUCAGAGAGAGAAUGAAGCUGCAAUGAAAAAGAAUGGAGGUGAAAUUGCAGGUAUGAGAUUGCAGGGAGUGUGGCCUGUGAUUGGUAAAAUGAAGGAAUGCUUAUGUGCAGUGAAACUAUGGCUCGAGUUACAACUGUGGAGAUGGUGAGCAGUAAUAUGAAUGGUUGUCGAAAAAGAAUUGCAAGAGAUGAUGAUGAUGUUAUGGUAUCAAGGGUUCGCGUAUGGAACUUGAAUUGUUUAUAAGUACAGGUGGUAUAGAAAUUGGUACUAUUCUUGAGAUUGAAUCGGUAAUGGAUGGAGUCAGGUGAUGAAUGAGCAGGUGCAGCUACAGAUGUAGGCAAUUGUAGGUUUUCUGGUGGGUCUUUAGAGUGGCAGGAAAUACUCAGUGGAGGAAUUGACAGUAUGGGUUGUGUUUGAUUAGCUUGUCAGUUCCACAAGACUGACAAGCCAAACAUCUAAUGAGCUAAUGGGCUUGUGGGUUGUUCUGAAGAAGAAGUGAGUUUAUAGGCUGGAGUGCUUGUCACAUGACCCAGUUGGUAUUUUGCUAUGUCAAAACCGUGAACUAGACUUGGAAAUUGGGUGGAUAGGAAAAGAUAUAAAAGCAACAUCUCUCCUAUAUCAUCUUUCUUUUUCUCUACUUUUGGCCUAGGGUUUAGAACAUGAUGGCUUUUCUAUUCCUUCUUGUUAUGAACUCCGUUAUUAUAUUUAGUAAUUUUCUUUUGGUUAAGGAAUAAGUUGGAAUUCUAAACAUGAUUUUUAUGUAAUGAAUUAGUUUUGUCUCCAUAUUAUCGUUUAUGAUUCACCAUUAAUAUUGUUACAUGAUUUGAAUGUUUGUUUGGUUGAGUCUAGAAUCAAUCGAGUUUGUUUUCAUCUCUAUUGCUAAAUUAGGAUUUAUUAUACGCAAAUUUGUAUUUGGUAGUGAUGGUUUCGAUAAUUGAAGACUAGGGUUGAAUUCGAACUGGAAUUGGGGUUGAUGUUGCUCCAUUGAGUGGUCUGUGUUGUGAAUCGAAAGAGGAGAAGUUGCUGCUGUUGUACAAAGUUAACAAUACGAAGCAGUGGAUUCUGAUAUUGCUGUUGCCGAUCGAAGAUUAGUAAGAAUGCAAGAUAAAGCAUGACUCAAGUGAAGAUAUUCAAGGGUUGAGUUUUCUGUGUGUAUUAGUGUGAAUUAUUACAAAGUUAAACUGGCUGUGAGCUGAUGUUGAUUGAAUUAUGAACUGGUGCAGCUGCAGAUUUGUGUUGCUGUCAUCAAUGAGAGUUGGUAUUGCAGGAAAUGGAGAAAGGAAGGAAUUGAUCCAAGAAAGGAGUUGACAAGAGCUGGUGGCACAACAGCCAGGCCCGUCACCUGCAGUUUCUGGUGGUUUUGGUUAAUAAGUUGGAUGGGUUGUUAAAGCUGAGAACUGAGAUGGUGCAGUUAAAAUGGCUCACUGUUGAUGUUUUUUUUGGUUGUGUAUGUGAGAUUGCAGAUGGGAAUGAUUGUUGUGCAGUGGGUAUGGUGGACUGGUAUUGCAGGUUGUGUUUGAAUGAAUUGUGCUGCUGCAAUGGGCAAACUGGAACUGCAGGUGAUGGCUGAGAAGUUGUGGGAUUGAAGCUACAGAAGACAUGAGUGAUACUGAAGCUAAAUGGAGUUGUAAGUGAGCUGCAGUAAAUGGUGUUGGUCAAAGAAGUGGAUGCUAUUGAUAAUGUUGAUAUGCAGGGACUGAAGAUGGCCGUGAGCUGAGAAGAUUGAGACAUGAAAGAGCUACAAAAUAAGAUGGUGUUCGUUACAGCUUAGAUGCAGUUACAAGAGUCAGGUUGGUGAUUGUUGUGUUGGCGAGAAACUACAGCAGUUGCAUGUGUUGGGUCUGGUGAUGCAAUGUGUUGGUUUGCAGCUGAAAUUACAAGAAAUGGAAAACUGGAAUUGCAGCAGGUGAAGCUAUGGAGAUUGCAGUCAAGCUGAACUGGUGGUGCUGUUUAGACUGGAAUGGAACAUUGGAGUUGCAGCUACUGUUGGGUUUGAUUUCCAGGUUAUAAUGCAGCUGCAAAGUGAGUCAGAGAGAGAAUGAAGCUGCAAUGAAAAAGAAUGGAGGUGAAAUUGCAGGUAUGAGAUUGCAGGGAGUGUGGCCUGUGAUUGG